Molecule: long non-coding RNA, 451 nt
Filed under: Phascolarctos cinereus (koala)
Lineage: Eukaryota; Metazoa; Chordata; Mammalia; Diprotodontia; Phascolarctidae
Description: lncRNA (ENSPCIG00000035403.1)
Source: RNAcentral
CUAGUUUCAGAUUGUUCGAGUGUCAAAAGCAUUGUUUUCUUCAUUUUGUUGAUAGAUCUGGGGGUUCUGUUGGGAAAUGGAAGAUAUCCUUAAAAAAACAGCACCACCUACAAUAAUAACGUGCAACAUCUCUUCCUGGAAUGCAUUCUGUCAUUGUUCUCCUAGUGGAUGUCAGGAUCUUCCUGUUCAAGAAGCAGCUCCAGGAUGAUUAAGGACAAAUUAGUAGGAGACAUCUGCAACGUGGACUCUUUAUGUACAAACCCAUUUUCAACAAAAUGGUGACUAUUUAAGUCAAAAUUGGAUUUCCAUGGUAUUUGGCUUUAGAGUUUCUAAGACUCUACUCCUGCAGAUUCUAGACUUGAAUUUGAAGGCGAAUACGUUAGCGUCGCUCCUUGCAGUCUCUAACUAAAGUAUCUGGCAAUUGCUUCAUAUCAGUUAUCUAGUCCUGAAU